GCAGGGAUAGCCAAGCUGGUCAACUAGCUUUAGUCAAGGAAGACUAAAGGCGCUGGACUCAAGAUCCAGUCUCGAAGGAGUUCGAGGGUUCGAAUCCCCCUCCCUGCACCA
Molecule: transfer RNA, 111 nt
Filed under: Candidatus Helarchaeota archaeon
Lineage: Archaea; Promethearchaeati; Candidatus Helarchaeota
Description: tRNA-Leu
Rfam family: tRNA
About the family: Transfer RNA (tRNA) molecules are approximately 80 nucleotides in length. Their secondary structure includes four short double-helical elements and three loops (D, anti-codon, and T loops).
Source: RNAcentral